Long non-coding RNA from Amphiprion ocellaris (clown anemonefish), 790 nucleotides. RefSeq lists it as uncharacterized. The transcript has 3 exons. The record is from RefSeq and is a predicted model, not a curated record. Lineage: Eukaryota; Metazoa; Chordata; Actinopteri; Pomacentridae.
UUUUCCUGAUCAAUGUGGACAUUAUAAUUGAUGGUAAUAUUUACUGAUCAUAUAAUCAGCAUGACAAUAUAACAGUAUAACAUUCUGACCACCUGACUAAUACUGUGUUGGUCCCUUUAUGCUGCUAAAACUCCUCUGACCCAGUGGUUCAUCAGAACCUCUGGGGAUGUCCUGUGGAUUCUGUGGAUCCUGUGGGUUGCAGGGUGGGUCCUACCUAGACCAGGCUGAUCCUGGACCAUCCCACAGAUGCUCCAUCAGAUCUGGAUGUGGGGAGUGUGGAACCCAGAUGUUCAGAGGGAGAUGAUGCCACAUCUGGUCCAGCUGAUGGAAGGUCUUGAAGUUCUCUGACUGGCCUCGACUGAAGAUGGUCGUCUCACUGGAUUUAAGAUGCACAAUGAGGGACGUCUGCAGAGACUGAGAAAGAGUCUCACCACAUCCUGACAUGAGGAAAAAGACUUUAUUGAAGACUACAAUGAGAAAAACUAUCAGACAGCAGAUGGCUGCAUUCAAGGUGAGCUCUGAACAUUUGAUCUGGAACAGGAAUUCAAUAACGGCAGCAUGAGCUUCAUUUCAGUCUGUAGCUGCUGAAUUCAUGGAUGAAUCAUCUGGCACUAGAGAAGAAGACCAUCAAACAUCCACGUCAGCUGAUGGAGGUCCAAGAGUCUCACCAAACAAACAACCUACAGAGUGAAGACCUCAAAUCUGAUUGGACGGCCUCCUAUUCAGCCACGUGUGAACAAAUGCCUCUAAGCUGAUUUGUUUUCUAAAAUAAAUCUAGUUUGAGUCCUAA